This 77-nucleotide transfer RNA is filed under the name Alphaproteobacteria bacterium. RNAcentral's name for it is "tRNA-Lys". It matches the Rfam family "tRNA". From Rfam's summary of the family: Transfer RNA (tRNA) molecules are approximately 80 nucleotides in length. Their secondary structure includes four short double-helical elements and three loops (D, anti-codon, and T loops). Lineage: Bacteria; Pseudomonadati; Pseudomonadota; Alphaproteobacteria. The record is from RNAcentral.
GGGCGUUUAGCUCAGACGCGCAGAGCGGCGGCCUCUUAAGCCGCAGGUCCGUGGUUCAAGUCCACGAACGCCCUCCA